GACUAGUAAUCAGACUCUAAACUUUAAGGUUAAAAUGUCUGCCCUUUCCUACCUUAAAGCAGACCCCUGAAGCCUGGAAGGCUGCAAUGAAAAAGAGUCGGGGCCUUGAGGUUACCCAGAAUCUUCCAAUUCUGCUUCUUCAGUUGGACUCCUGGAAAUUCCCAGUCGCAGGGACCCCACAACUGUUCUGUUUGGAUGAACAUCUGGCAUCAGCUGACCCCCCAUCCCACCUCUUUCUGUGGAAGCCCUGUCCUGUUAUGCUGGCAGAUGGAGCAUGGAUCAACAGCUCAGCUGGGCUUCAUGGAAGCAUUUAUACAUAUUAGAUGGGAACACAAGAGAUGACCGCAGCCCCAGGAAAACGAUAUGGGGGGUAAUGCCAACACAAGUGAGGAGAAGAUUAAGAAUGAUUUGAAGUUGGCCACAUUGUAAGGUCAAAAAAAAAAA
Long non-coding RNA from Molossus molossus (Pallas's mastiff bat), 444 nucleotides. RefSeq lists it as uncharacterized. The transcript has 2 exons. The record is from RefSeq and is a predicted model, not a curated record. Lineage: Eukaryota; Metazoa; Chordata; Mammalia; Chiroptera; Molossidae.